RNAcentral lists this long non-coding RNA (362 nucleotides) under Phasianus colchicus (ring-necked pheasant). Its description in RNAcentral is "lncRNA (ENSPCLG00000022357.1)". Lineage: Eukaryota; Metazoa; Chordata; Aves; Galliformes; Phasianidae. The record is from RNAcentral.
CCAGGUGUGUAAGAAUAGAAACUCCCCUUCUUCACAAGUAGCGGAAUGAAAGAAGUUCACAAAAUUUCUAAAGUCAGUUAUUUUAUGUGGAUGGUCUUCCCGGUUUUUGCACAGAAGGAAGAUGAGACGAAUACGCUGAUGGAGAAGGCUGAAGGAAAAAGAUGCUAAGUCCAUUCUGCUUGGGCCACUGUCAACAAGAACUACUGUUGCACUUAAUGUUAAAUAGUCUUUUGUCUGUGAUUCAUCUGCACAUUAGAAAUGAUACUUCUGAAAACCAAACCAGACUCUGGAGAAAGAUGAGAAUGAAACUGGAGAAAACAACUGGAAGUUUGUUUUGGGGAGGAAUCUGUCAAUCAGUAUGA